Molecule: ribosomal RNA, 577 nt
Filed under: Geomyces sp. 20KY10
Lineage: Eukaryota; Fungi; Ascomycota; Leotiomycetes; Thelebolales; Pseudeurotiaceae
Description: eukaryotic LSU rRNA
Rfam family: 5.8S ribosomal RNA (bases 232-385)
Source: RNAcentral
UAGAGGAAGUAAAAGUCGUAACAAGGUUUCCGUAGGUGAACCUGCGGAAGGAUCAUUACAGUAGUCACCCGGGUUGCCGCAAGGCCUCCCGGGUAACCUACCACCCUUUGUUUAUUACACUUUGUUGCUUUGGCAAGCCUGCCCUCGGGCUGCUGGCUCCGGCCGGCGAGCGCUUGCCAGAGGACCUAAACUCUGUUUGUCUAUACUGUCUGAGUACUAUAUAAUAGUUAAAACUUUCAACAACGGAUCUCUUGGUUCUGGCAUCGAUGAAGAACGCAGCGAAAUGCGAUAAGUAAUGUGAAUUGCAGAAUUCAGUGAAUCAUCGAAUCUUUGAACGCACAUUGCGCCCCCUGGUAUUCCGGGGGGCAUGCCUGUCCGAGCGUCAUUACAACCCUCAAGCUCAGCUUGGUGUUGGGCCCCGCCGCUCCGGCGGGCCCUAAAGUCAGUGGCGGUGCCGUCCGGCUCCGAGCGUAGUAAUUCUUCUCGCUCUGGAGGUCCGGUCGUGUGCUUGCCAGCAACCCCCAAUUUUUUUCAGGUUGACCUCGGAUCAGGUAGGGAUACCCGCUGAACUUAAGCA